Molecule: long non-coding RNA, 537 nt
Organism: Python bivittatus (Burmese python)
Lineage: Eukaryota; Metazoa; Chordata; Lepidosauria; Squamata; Pythonidae
Source: RefSeq, a predicted model, not a curated record
UGUCUUAUGUCUCUUAAACACAGGGAUUACUACAUACUGAUCAGAACCAUAUUUAGAGUCGCUUGAUAAAAGGAAAAUGAAUACUCAUCUGUGGAUUUAGAGGCCCAGGAAGAUGGUUGUUCAUAAAGCAACAAGCACACUUACAAAGACUUUGUGUCUACCCAAGCAACAGAGAUCAGAAUGAUCCUUAUACAAGCCUAUGGUGAGACCACCCUUGGAGAACUAGGUUCAGUUCUGGCCAUGACAACUUUAAAAGGAUAUUCCCAUAAUGGAAAAAGGCACAGCAGGAGAUCUGGGGACUGAAGCACAUCUCCUAUGAAGAAAGAUGACAGCAGUGAGGACACUCUAGCCUGAACUAGGAGAGUAAGAGGAAACAUGAGAAAGCCCCCAGAAGUCUCAAAAUCCAGAUAUUUCCUCCAGUGUUCACAUCGCUGGCCAGAAAACUGCAGAUUGAGCAGCUGGCAUAAUUCCAAGCCAAGUAUUCAUUUACCUAAUAUUUGCUGGAUCUCUGGCCAUUCUUUUUGAGUCUCCAAGACA